RNAcentral lists this ribosomal RNA (468 nucleotides) under uncultured bacterium. RNAcentral describes it as "partial 16S ribosomal RNA". It matches the Rfam family "Bacterial small subunit ribosomal RNA", at positions 28 to 507 of the family's 1533-position model. The record is from RNAcentral.
GACGAACGCUGGCGGCGUGCUUAACACAUGCAAGUCGAACGGAAAGGCCCUGCUUUUGUGGGGUGCUCGAGUGGCGAACGGGUGAGUAACACGUGAGUAACCUGCCCUUGACUUUGGGAUAACUUCAGGAAACUGGGGCUAAUACCGGAUAGGAGCUCCUGCUGCAUGGUGGGGGUUGGAAAGUUUCGGCGGUUGGGGAUGGACUCGCGGCUGAUCGGCUUGGUGGUGGGGUAGUGGCUGACCAAGGCUUGGACGGGUAGCCGGCCGGGGAGGGUGACCGGCCACAUUGGGACUGAGAGACGGCCCAGACUCCUACGGGAGGCAGCAGUGGGGAAUAUUGCACAGUGGGCGGAAGCCUGAUGCAGCAACGCCGCGUGCGGGAUGACGGCCUUCGGGUUGUAAACCGCUUUCGCCUGUGACGAAGCGUGAGUGACGGUAAUGGGUAAAGAAGCACCGGCUAACUACGUG